Long non-coding RNA from Capsicum annuum, 2669 nucleotides. RefSeq lists it as uncharacterized. The record is from RefSeq and is a predicted model, not a curated record. The transcript has 3 exons. Lineage: Eukaryota; Viridiplantae; Streptophyta; Magnoliopsida; Solanales; Solanaceae.
UUUAUGUUAGUUUUCCUCCAAAUCACUUUAUGGACAUGUAUGCUUAAAAUUUAUCUCAUUUACUACAGUUUCAGUGUUCAUUAUGUAAGAUCAGCGAAACUUAUAUGACGCAACUGCAUUUGGAAGUUUUGAGUGUUGAUACUGUACACUUCAUUCUGGUGCAGUCUUUGAGCCAACCACACUAGUAUAUAUAUAUAUAUAUAUAUAUAUAUUACUAUUACUACUAUAUAGAAAAGGCAAAGAAGGGAGGACCAAGGGCAAGACUGGUAUUAAACUCAAUUUGUAAGGGCAAAAUGGUAAAUUGAUAUACUAGAUAUUUUCCCUGACUCCGGGAGCAUUUCUCAUUCUCAAAGAAGAAACCAAAAACUCCAGAAUCUUCCAUCAUCUAUUCCUUAGUUCUCAUUCAACUGGGUUGGAGGUUUUGUUACAGAUACUUAGUUUCUUUUAGUUUUGAAAAAACGAAAUCAAAUAUCACAAAUCAAAUCUCUUUCCACACAUUUCUAACUUCAUUGCUUAUAUCAAAUCUGUUAAAAAAAUUAAUUCUGCCUAAACAAAGAAGCAGUUUCUUCCUUCUUUACCAACCAGUCUCUGCUGCAUGCUCAAGCUAAGUUUUGAGAUUUAAUUUUCGAUCCCACUUCCACUUUCGAAUUUUCCUUAUUGUGUACAUUUUUUUUUGUUAAAUCGGUGGUCCUGUUUUCGUAAUUUUGAAGUGGCUAUGGUACACUUGAAUAACUUCUUGAAGUCAUUACAUGGGAAAAUUUUGAAGGAACAACAGGUUGCCAUUGUACUAUACGGUGAUCACAUUCCUAGUUAUUGAGAUAAAAUCUGAUGCACUUUGGCCGAAGCUGUUAAGUGCAUGUGUUGCCUAAAACAAAAGCAAAAGAAAUGCAACAGAGGUAACAUCGAAAGAAGACCAUGCCAAACCAAACUUCCCUGAUGCCUUAUAUUUAAUGGCAAAGUUCAUUUUGAUCAUUUAUAUUUAGCUCUUGAGUUAUUGUGCAUCAUGUCACUACCUAUUUUGACAACUUAUUAAGUCUAUUCGAAUCCAGUGGUUGGAUCACGAACCCCAGAACUGAAUCUGUAGCCUCUUUUUUUCUCUGUAUAUUGUGAGCAGAUGAAUAAAAUGUAAGAUGACACAAAGCUUAGCUUAUUAAAAGGUCUUGUAAUUCUUGUAUUGGUAUUGCAGUGGAAUAAUGCACCAGAAUAUGCAACGGGGAGGGAAAUUCUCAGUCAAGACAUCUUUAGCUUUGGAGUAUUACUUUUGGAAAUAAAAGCCACGAAACAGUGACCAUUCGAUAUACAUUAGCCAUUUUCCAGGCCACUAAAAAGUGACCAUUCGAUAUUGCAUUCUAACAUUGACUUUUGUACGUACAUACUACUCCCUCCGUUUCACAAUAAGUGAAUUGUUGGAGCAAUUUUAGUGUUUCAAAAUAAGUGAAUGGUUCACAGUUCAAGGUAAAUGUUGAAAUUUUUUCCAAAUUUACCCUCCAUUAAAUGUGCAUUGGGAGUGAUGUAUCACGUGUCUUUACUUUUUGAAGAGGGUAAAAAUGGAAAAACAUGGUAAAUUUAUGUGUUUGCUUUUUUUUCUUAACUAUGUGUGCCAAAAUCCAACAAUUAACUUAUUGUGAAAUGGAGGGAGUAUUGUUUUAGUUACAUAUCCAGGAUUUGAAUCAAGGCUAUUGUGUCCUGUCAAACCCAUACCCUUAGGUCCAACUUCCCCUUGUUCUGCAUUCUUCAUGAUGAUAGUAAUAAGUCAAAUAGAUUUGCUAUCGCUAUCUGCGUGUGUAGAUGGCUGUAACUUUUUGGGGGCUACUCUUUCCCUUGUGAUACUAAUCAUAGUGAAGUAAAUUCAGUACGUCAAUGUCCAAAUGGCUGAAAGUUUCCAUACUGCUACUUUUACCUUUCACUUUAAAAAUCUACUACACAUUUUGGUUUGCUUCUAUUUGAAUCGCAGGUGCCACUUCGAACGUAACAUUACGCCAGCAAUACAAUUACCGCAAUAGUCUUAUAAACGGUGGCAGAAACAAUGUUGUCCCUCACUGCCGAACAAAUAUAUGAAAGUGCGGCUGUGCAGGUACACAAACACAUAGUGGUAAAAGCAGGAAAAACUCAUCUUCGUAGUAUCCUAAAAUACCAGUAAGCAAAAAUACCACAUUACGCCAACUGCUACUCACUGUCUCAUUUUUGGCCCUUUUCACUCAGAAAGAACCGUUAUCUAUUGUCCGUACAAAUCAAGAGUUUGCUCAUAAACCGUUUAGACUCCAGCUGCAAAAGCAGAUCUUCAGGUUUCCCGACCAAACACCUGGUAUGCUAGCUGUUGCAUCCUUUACUGAAACAGAAACCCAAUUUUUAGACCAUCACCGUCACCAAUGGCUCAUGAGAAACAGGUAAGAGGCAGAAAGUCAAACCGCCCACUCCAACGAAAAAAACUUAAAGGUAACAAUAGCUUCCAUCUUUUGUUUAUUAUUGUACUCUACUUGGCCUUUACCUGAGCUCUAUAGUUACUCGGGAACAUUUACAUUAAAUAACUUGUGAAAACAACUGACAAAUUCUGUACAGAUAUGCAAAAUAUGCAUGUCUAAAAUAGAGAUUCUAAGCCAUUCCCACAGCUUCUUUUAAGUUAAGCUACUCGGGUAAAAUUUAUUUGAGAUAUGUAUACUUACAAAGAC